GGUUGGGUCCUGCGCGGCGGAAACCUUCGAACCCCGCCAGGUCCGGGAGGAAGCAACGGUAAGGAGGCAUUUCCGGGCGCCGCAGGGGUGCCUGAUCUUC
RNAcentral lists this signal recognition particle RNA (100 nucleotides) under Chloroflexota bacterium. RNAcentral describes it as "Chloroflexi bacterium (sediment metagenome) signal recognition particle sRNA small type". It matches the Rfam family "Bacterial small signal recognition particle RNA". Rfam says of the family: The signal recognition particle (SRP) is a universally conserved ribonucleoprotein involved in the co-translational targeting of proteins to membranes. The record is from RNAcentral. RNAcentral also lists the same sequence under 1 other name. Lineage: Bacteria; Bacillati; Chloroflexota.